AUGGCCAGAUUCUGGUGCUCGCUCCUGCUCCUGUGGCUCUGCUAUCUUGUCCUCUCUCCGGUGGACUCGUCGCCGGUUGCCAUCACGCACCUGCCCGGCUUCGACGGGCCACUCCCAUUCUCCCUCGAAACCGGGUAUGUGGAGGUGGACGAAAGCAAUGGUGCGCACCUUUUCUACUACUUCGUCGAGUCGGAGAAGGACCCCAAGGGAGACCCGCUGCUGCUGUGGAUGCAGGGUGGACCCGGCUGCUCCAGCCUCUCUGGCAUUCUCUACGAGAUGGGGCCCUUCCGGUUUGACAUCCAAGGGUACAGACGUGGACGCCCUACUUUGCUGUACCGACCGGAGACAUGGACCAAGGUCAGCAAUAUAAUCUUUAUUGAUAGUCCUAUUGGGUCUGGGUUCUCGUACGCCACAACUGAAGAAGGGUUCAAAUCUAGUGAUACCAAGGCAGUUAAAAUGCAAGUCGUCUUCCUCAAAAAGUGGUUGCAUGAGCACCCCCAGUUCCUCUCAAAUCCACUUUAUGUUGGUGGUGAAUCAUAUAUUGUUAUGAUCAUACCCAGUCUUGCCCUAGAAAUCCACUUAUCAAGUAAGACUCUUUAUACUUAUCUAUACAUGAUGAACCACUGCUAUGAGAGUGGUUUUUUACACCCACCCUCGGUGCACCCACGCUACACCCACACAAAAGAACAUAGCAAAACAUUUUGA
RNAcentral lists this ribosomal RNA (705 nucleotides) under Triticum aestivum (bread wheat). Its description in RNAcentral is "partial small subunit ribosomal RNA". Lineage: Eukaryota; Viridiplantae; Streptophyta; Magnoliopsida; Poales; Poaceae. The record is from RNAcentral.